This 78-nucleotide small RNA is filed under the name Flavobacterium anhuiense. RNAcentral describes it as "Flavo-1 RNA". Lineage: Bacteria; Pseudomonadati; Bacteroidota; Flavobacteriia; Flavobacteriales; Flavobacteriaceae. The record is from RNAcentral.
CACUUCGCUCGUGUACAGUGGAAAUCCUUUUGUGCCGGUGUUCGGCACAAAAAAUUGGAACACAUAGCGGGAAAAGCC